GGGGGUGAGUGGUAUCGACAGAGGGGAAGAUUCGUAGAUUGCAGGCCGAGGACGCCGGCUCCCUCGUAAAUCCGACGGCACGCCAGUAACUGGCAACUCUCAGAGCGCGCGAGCGCUCGCUUACGCGGCCUAAUCUCCGCGUACCUCCUGCCGGUCUCCGCCUGACGGACCGGUAACGAGGCCACCUAGUCAGGACGCUGCGCACCUGAUGCCGAGUACGGUGCGCAAAAGAUCACUCGGCUGGCGCAGAACGGUCCCUGUCGAUGGGGACCCGCAGCGCGAGACCCCAAUCAUCGACUACGCCUGUAGGACAUCUCGCGUCGACCCGCUCUGGACCGGAGAGUUCGACUCCUCCGCACCUCCACCA
RNAcentral lists this transfer-messenger RNA (367 nucleotides) under Chloroflexota bacterium. It matches the Rfam family "transfer-messenger RNA". Rfam says of the family: Bacterial tmRNA, also known as 10Sa RNA or SsrA, is named for its dual tRNA and mRNA-like properties. Its role is to liberate the mRNA from a stalled ribosome. Lineage: Bacteria; Bacillati; Chloroflexota. The record is from RNAcentral.